This 1093-nucleotide long non-coding RNA is filed under the name Macaca fascicularis (crab-eating macaque). RNAcentral's name for it is "lncRNA (ENSMFAG00000056238.1)". The record is from RNAcentral. Lineage: Eukaryota; Metazoa; Chordata; Mammalia; Primates; Cercopithecidae.
AACAAAAUGCUCCAGAUGAAAUAAAUCAAAAUUAAAUACUGUCUGCAGUUUAACACUGCCACUAAAUUCCAUCUUUAGUUUGAUUUUUGUGUCCUCUUUAUCAAUUCACUGCUUGAUUGAGAAAAUGAUUGUCUAGCUCAGUUAUACUAUGCCUUGCAUUGACCAAGAGAGGUAUCCCAGUCUCAUGACACUGAUAUCGUAACUGUCAAAUGGAGGUACUUCUGUGAGGCAGAGGGCACAAUUCCAUGCAUGAGCUUGCAAUGCACGUUCUAUGCCAUCAGGGACUCAACAUUCUAGGAUUUAGUUUUCCAGAUUUGUUUCUUUGAUUUAAUGGAAAAGAUGUUUCUAUUUCCCACCCUGCUAUUUUUCUAUUUUUAUAUUGAGACCAGAGUUAAUUGGUACAUCUUUUUGUUCCCAUCAGCUUUUUCCCCUCUUGGGGUCCUGUUGUGUGCACUGGCAGCGUAGCUCAGAGGAGUUGCCCCUUGGAAAGAAUUACAGUGGAGGACGGUCCUUCCCCACAUGCAUGCAAGUCCUCCAACACCAUGCAUGUCCAACAGUGAUCUUGGUGGCGUUAUGGACCAGAAAGGAAAAGCCAUAGUAAGAAACAGCUGUUUGGCUUGAAGAUGUGUUGGUUUGCUUAUGUUUGUAACUUGCUUGCUUUUUUGCUUUGGGUUUUCAAGAUGCUGGUGCUAUUGGUGACAAUGGCAAGGACUCCUAUGUCUUGUGAACCACAACCAGCUCCUGGCAUUCUCAAGUUGGUGGCAAGAUGCAUGUCAUGUGCAUGGGGACUGCAGAGGCCCCAUGUGGAUGGAUCCUUGAUGCUUCUCAGAUAAGACAAAACUACUUAGGAAGCAAAAUUGUGAUGGGAGUAAUGGGUCACAUAAAGAGAAAUAUAUAUUUUUUAUUUAUAGUUUCCUCUUGGUUUAAUUUACUUUUUCAUUAUAGGAUUAUAGCGCUAGAUAAGACAUGAUCUACAAACCAAACCACAAGCCACUUAGAGACAUCAGGACGAUGAAAAUCAAUUUUCUGCUAAUUUGUUGUUGUUGUUCUGACAGAUGUGAUUUAUCUCUGGCAAAAAAAAAAAAAAAAAAAA